UACGGAGGGUGCAAGCGUUAUCCGGAUUCACUGGGUUUAAAGGGUGCGUAGGCGGAUAGGUAAGUCCGUGGUGAAAUCUCCGAGCUUAACUUGGAAACUGCCAUGGAUACUAUAGAUCUUGAAUACUGUGGAGGUUAGCGGAAUAUGUCAUGUAGCGGUGAAAUGCUUAGAUAUGACAUAGAACACCAAUUGCGAAGGCAGCUGGCUACACAAAUAUUGACACUGAUGCACGAAAGCGUGGGGAUCAAACAGG
RNAcentral lists this ribosomal RNA (253 nucleotides) under uncultured bacterium. Its description in RNAcentral is "partial 16S ribosomal RNA". It matches the Rfam family "Bacterial small subunit ribosomal RNA", at positions 524 to 776 of the family's 1533-position model. The record is from RNAcentral.